Molecule: long non-coding RNA, 2985 nt
Filed under: Mytilus galloprovincialis (Mediterranean mussel)
Lineage: Eukaryota; Metazoa; Mollusca; Bivalvia; Mytilida; Mytilidae
Source: RNAcentral
AGACCAUAAAAACUCAUGUAAUCCAUCAAGAUGUAAACAUGGAGGAACUUGUAUAAAUAAUGGUAAAAGUUCUACGUGUGCUUGUAAGACUGGUUUCACUGGAAGUUUUUGUCAAACAGGUAUGCAUAAAUUAAUUAGAGGUCAUCAAAUAGUUUACCUCAAUUCUUUUUCACGAACGUGACCUACCGAAUUAAACUAUUUACCUAGUUUUUGAUAACAUGAACAACACGGCGGAUACCACAUGUGGAGCAAAAUCAGCUUACGUUUCCGGAGCACCUGAGAUCACCCAAGUUUAUAGUGGGGUUUGUGUUGCCAAGUCUUUAGUUUUCUAUGUUGUGUUACGGGUACUAUUAUUUGUCUGUGUCUUUUUCUUUUAUUAGCCAGUUAUUUUUACAAACUGAAAGCAACGUGAUCUGAAGCGAUGUUUUUGAAAGUUUAUAGUCACUGGGUUAGAGAAGUUGUUGUUACAAAGUACGUAUAAAACGGGAAAAUAACAAACAAACAAAAUUAGACUACGUGCAGCUAUAAUAUGAAACUAUCAUCCAUUAUCAAUACGUAACUACCUCCUUUGAAUAUGGAAUAGAAGAAGAAUGUUUCAGACAAGUAUUCAAGUGUCCAGUGAUCAAUUUUAGCUAUACGUUCUAAAACUUCAGUUUAUAUUAAAAAAAAAAAGAAGGUUUCAACUCCCGCUGUUGACCUUAGAUUGAUUUGACUUUAUUAUGUCCUUUUUCCAUUAUCUAGCUCUUGAACUGUUUCGGUUCUUACACAUCCUUGGCUUUCUAAUAUUUUAGCGGUGAGCUUCCCUGAUGUAGUAAAUACUAUUAUUACGAAAAAUCGCUUCAGUCGAACGAAGUUAAAAAAGUGCUGUUCCCACACUUUACAGCACUUAGUCAAUACAUAUGCUGAUAAUUUUUUAGUUCCCGAGGGUAUCAGCAGCUCAGUUGUCAGUUGUACUUCGAAGCUGGCAUAAUUUAUAACAAACCUUUAUAAAAUAGUCCGUUUAAAAAAUAUGAAAUUAAUGAGUAAUGUGUUAAUUUAAAAACCGCAUGUUUUUUUUUAGAUAAAAACGAGUGUAGACAUUCUCCUUGUAUGCAUGGUGGAAGAUGUAUAGAUGGAAUUGUUAGCUACAGUUGUACAUGUAUACCAGGUUUUACGGGUGUCAGAUGCGAAAAAGGCAUUUAAUGUUACUUAUAUAUAAUUAUAUUCACGUGUUAUUUAUAAUAUAUAUAUUGCUCCUCUGCAUCCAUUUUUUGGCUAUAUAAGAAUAUCAAUGGUGUUCUUUUCAGUAAUACUGUGGUAGGGAGGAAACUGACAUUCAAAACGAAAUAUGUUUACGCGAAGGAUGCAACGAAUUUAUUAUUUAGUGAUCAAAUUAAACUGUAACAGUAUUAUAGGUUCAACCAGGCCGAUAAUUUGGUUCGACAGACCCGAACUGUGUCUACAAAAUAGUCAUCAUUAGCGCUCGAAUAUACAUAAACAUAUAGAUUUAGCUACUCUUUCAAAAAGAUCUAACACAGGAAAUUGAAAAGCUAUGACAUUUUAUUUCUGAAGUAUCUCGUACAUUACUUCUGUCCUCCUUUCAACCUGAACUUUCGUUACCUUCUUAUAAUUGCCUGCAUUUGACAAUUAAGAUAUUUAGAUAAAACUAUUCCACGAUUUCUACAUCCUGUCUUACCUUAUUUAAAGUGAAGUGGGAAUUAUCUGGUAAUCUUCCUAAUGAAAAGUAAAAAUAAAUACAAUACAAGAUAUAAAAUACAGUUAUGAUUACCUUUAUCUAACUGAUACAGAUAGGUACCUUGGGUUAUAAUAUUGCUUUUAUCUUUAUUUUCCUCUACCAAAUCCAAAGCUUGCCACAAAAUAUCGUCCUUUUUACAACCGUCCAUAUUGACUACUGCAUACAAGAAGCAUGAAUUAGUAUCUUGUUUGUAAUGAGAAUAAUUGAAACGGUCAACCUUAACCUGCUGAUCCAUAUUAGCAAAUGGAUUUAAUUGAAAUAUGCGGAACAACUUUGACAUUUGUAAAACAUACUCAAUUGUCAAAGUUUGAACGAAGAUAACCAAAGAAAGGUUACUAGUGGGUCUCAUGUAAUAAUUGUUUUUUACAAAUCAUGGUUUGAUAUUGUCAACUUGAUCAAUAUGCUAUCUUUUUUUCCUAUUUUAUAAUCAAUGUUAACAAAUAUAGAGUUUAAAAUGGGGUGUAAGUUAGUUAUACACCUCGGGAUACGGCGUGUCUGGAUAAGAAACCCCUCAUGCCUCCGGCCAAUGGGAAUUCUUAUCCAGACACACCUAUCCCACGGUUAAUAACUAUUACGAAAAAUCACUUCAGUCGAACGAAGUAAAAAAAGUGCUGUUCCCACAUUUUACAGCACUUAGUCAAUACAUAUGCUGAUAAAUUUUUAGUUCCCGAGGGUAUCAGCAGCUCAGUUGUCAGUUGUACUUCGAAGCUUGCAUAAUUUAUGACAAACCUUUAUAAAAUAGUCCGUUUAAAAAAUAUGAAACUAAUAAAAGAACAAAGUUUUCGACUCAAGUCAAAGUUGACCUUAAAUGAAUUUUGCUAUUUUUGAAGGUCCCUUUUGGUAGCUCUUGAACUAUUUCAGUUCUUAUUCAUCCCAUUCAUAUAUUCUGCUUUCAGCGUUCUUGAUGAAGGUAAAAAUAGAAAAGCACUUCGGAAUCAAUAAAACAAAUAGGAAAUAUAAAAAGCACACACAGAAUAAAGUGUGAACCUUUUUUCCCGCCAUCUUUUAACAAAAUUUAAAAAUCCUGAAAAAUGCUUCACUUUAAUAAGAAAAGUGUGAACAAUGUAUAUAACUGAGUAACGUGAUAAUUCAAAAACCGCUUGUUUCGACUGAAGUGAUCUGUACAUUUUUUUUAGAAAUAAACGAGUGUGAACCUUCUCCUUGUAUGCAUGGUGGAAGAUGUAUAGAUGGAAUUGGUAGCUACAGUUGUACAUGUAUACCAGGUUUUACGGGUGUCAGAUGCGAAAAAG